AACCUUCUUAAUCCGUGCAGAGAUUUCGUCAGACACCAGAGCAUCAGUACUGAUGAGACUCUCAGGAUAGGUGAAGCG
Molecule: microRNA precursor, 78 nt
Organism: Schistosoma mansoni
Lineage: Eukaryota; Metazoa; Platyhelminthes; Trematoda; Strigeidida; Schistosomatidae
Rfam family: mir-3492 microRNA precursor family
Source: Rfam